UAGGGAAUCUUCCACAAUGGACGAAAGUCUGAUGGAGCAACGCCGCGUGAGUGAAGAAGGGUUUCGGCUCGUAAACUCUGUUGUUAAAGAAGAACAUAUCUGAGAGUAACUGUUCAGGUAUUGACGGUUAUUUAACCAGAAAGCCACGGCUAACUACGUGCCAG
Molecule: ribosomal RNA, 164 nt
Filed under: uncultured bacterium
Lineage: Bacteria
Description: partial 16S rRNA
Rfam family: Bacterial small subunit ribosomal RNA
Source: RNAcentral